CUUUGCUCAUACAAGCUACAGAACCAUUUAGCACAAACUGCUAUGGUUCAACAUAACGAUGCCUCUGAAUGUUCUUGAAGCUGUUCUCCAGGAGGUGAUACCAGCACAGGGAGACUCAGCUUACCUCACCUUGGCAUUGACCUGCAAGUGCUUUGAAGCCGUUGUGUCUGAGCCAGUUUUCAGGAAGAAGACUCACUUUGCUUGGCUGGAUGGUGAGAUCAACUGGGGCAAAUUUUCAAAAAACAUUCACGGCAGAAAACCGGAUUCCUUUUGCGGUUGUAA
Molecule: long non-coding RNA, 282 nt
Organism: Xiphophorus maculatus (southern platyfish)
Lineage: Eukaryota; Metazoa; Chordata; Actinopteri; Cyprinodontiformes; Poeciliidae
Exons: 3
Source: RefSeq, a predicted model, not a curated record